This 1032-nucleotide long non-coding RNA is filed under the name Vitis vinifera (wine grape). Its description in RNAcentral is "long non-coding RNA (VVIN_LNC005664)". Lineage: Eukaryota; Viridiplantae; Streptophyta; Magnoliopsida; Vitales; Vitaceae. The record is from RNAcentral.
UUGCUGUUUUUGAAAAUCGGCGCGGUUACGGAGUCACUUGGCUUGGCAGAGUUGAAUUCGAGAGUCGACGAGUCGACGGAGUCGCGGUUGACGAGGCAGUAAGAGAACGAGGAGGCUUUGAUCUGAGAAGUGAGCGAGAGUGGGCCGCCGCCAAGUCCUAUCAAGCCAGCCGCACCGACAAACAAGCCCUCGUUGUCGUGACCGCAUCCGAUGGCCACCUUAUCCACAGAUCCAGAGUUCCCAAACGACACCGUUUCAGUGGCGAAGUCGCCGACGGUGUACGAUCCGUCGCCGUAGGAGACCUGGUAGAGACACGAAUCAUUCCGACACGCGAACACAUCGAGAUUCCGGCAUUGUGGAGUUUGGCAUCCGAGACGUGAGAACGAGGACGAUGAAGCCGGAUCGAAAAUCGGAUCGACUUGCUGAUAGCAGUCGUCGCAAGGCUUGCACUGAAGCCAGUUGACGUCGCUGCCGGUGUCGAUAACCAUGUAGAACGUUUUCGAAGGCCGGCCAAUUCCAACUCUCAAAAAGUACUCGCCGCUGCCCUGACUCGUACCGGAGGUGACCGGAGUCGAGAAAUCCUGUGGAUGGAGUAUCUCCGUGUCCAUCGGCACGAGAUCGGACUUGUCGGUGCCGGAUACAGCGAGUUGGAGCUUAGUAUUGAUGGCCUUGACCCGGGCUGAGUCACGAGCGAGUCGCGAAAGCAUCAAAGCCCUGUAGUCCUUAUGCGAGCCUCCAUGAAGAAGCUCCCUCGGGUGAAGCUCCAGAGAGAAAGACGAAGCCAGAGAAGUAGGCGAAAACGACGUGGUCUUCUCAUCUCUCUGGUCAGAGGGUUUCGAGACACUGCUCUUGUGAGAUAGCACGUCGAGAGUCUUCCGAAUAGAACCCGAAACAUCCAGCACAGAGCUGUGAGAAUCAGUGUCCAGCGAUAACUCCCUGGAGAAAACAAAAGGAGAAAGAGAGAGAGCGAAGGCAGCGAAAAUGGAGAAAAUAAAAAACUUGUCCGCCAUUUUGGCUGCAGAGAGGAUAGCC